CAGCCAUCAGCAAAGUGUAGUCAGGACCUUUUCUAUGCGUUGCUGACCUUUUUAAAGGUCGCCCAUCCAGCCAUCAGCAAAGUGUAGUCUUGACCUUUUCUAUGUGUUGCUGACCUUUUUAAAGGUCGCCCAUCCAGCCAUCAGCAAAGUGUAGUCUUGACCUUUUCUAUGUGUUGCUGACCUUUUUAAAGGUCGCCCAUCCAGCAAUCAGCAAAGUGUAGUCUUGACCUUUUCUAUGUGUUGCUGACCUUUUUAAAGGUAGCCCAUCCAGCCAUCAGCAAAGUGUAGUCUUGACCUUUUCUAUGUGUUGCUGACCUUUUUAAAGGUCGCCCAUCCAGCCAUCAGCAAAGUGUAGUCUUGACCUUUUCUAUGUGUUGCUGACCUUUUUAAAGGUAGCCCAUCCAGCCAUCAGCAAAGUGUAGUCAUGACCUUUUCUAUGUGUUGCUGACCUUUUUAAAGGUCGCCCAUCCAGCCAUCAGCAAAGUGUAGUCAUGACCUUUCUAUUAAUCCAUCUGUCUCUCAGCCAUGUAAAUGCGAACAAGAUUCAACAACUGAAGACUAAGCUUGUAUGCUGUUUCAAUAACUUAACUUAACUGUAAUUAUUUUUUUCUGUCAUUGAACUUUGUGAUGUAUAUGGUGGGAAUGUUCUCUGUGUUAAUUUAAUUAGCACAAUUCACUGACAUGCUGGACUGACAUGCUAGCUGCUGUUCAGGAGUGUAACAUUUGCUGUUGGGGACAACUUAUACAGUUGUCAAUGGUACUUUGCUUUCUAGAUUUAUUUUUUGUCUCUCAAGCAACACUGUGUGUGGCUCUUCUGUCGCUGGGGCUGUUGCUGUUUUGAAACCGCUGGCAGACUGAUACAGUUUUCUGCGUAGAAAUCAAUUUCUUGGCAGGUACCUAGGCCCAUGGCAUGUAUUGUUAAGGGCGUAACUAGAGAAAAUUAAAUAGUGUCUGUUGCUGCUUUGAAAAAAGUUUUAAUUCUGAAAAUGUACAUAGUUUAUCAUAAUAUCUUGUACAGUCCAGUGUAAAGUUUUUAAUUGAACUUUAAAAAAAGGUUGCCAUCACAUUUGUGUUCACUUUCUUCUUCAUACAGUACAAAAGGACAGCUACUUGCUGAGGAUAUUAUUGUUAAAUUUAAAAAAGGAGAAGGUACUAAAAUAUUUUAUUUUGCUUGGCUUCAAAAUGUAAACCAGCAAGUCUUUGGUUUCCAUGUGCAGUAUUGACGUGAGGUAAACUUAAGGUGAAAUAAUUCUACAGUGGUAUGUAUUGGAGACCAGUCUCCUCUGUGUUGGUAGUAUUAAUACACUAUAUCAAAUAAAAUACACCAGAUGACUGACACAUUUGGGUGUAUCUAGGCACCUUAGUAAUGUGUGCAAAUAUCUAGGCUGUGUUCCCCACAGGAUGCAUUCAGGCAUAUUGUAAUGUAACAUCAUCUUUCUGUAUGUACUCAAUCCAUUGAUGUAACAAGGCAGGAGUGGGUUGUUUAACUGCCUGUUUAAGCUCAUUUACCUCAAGAGUUUCCUCCUUUUGCGUAAAAGAGUAAGAAAUUGUGUGACAAAGUCUCACCAUCACUCCCAUCUUUUGUACUGCUGUUGACACUUACAAAUUAAAGAGACAUUUUGUUUUAAGAUCCGAGUCUCUAUUUUGUUGUUGUUGUGCGUUGAUUGUCCAUUGAUUU
Molecule: long non-coding RNA, 1678 nt
Organism: Oncorhynchus tshawytscha (Chinook salmon)
Lineage: Eukaryota; Metazoa; Chordata; Actinopteri; Salmoniformes; Salmonidae
Source: Ensembl